RNAcentral lists this ribosomal RNA (485 nucleotides) under uncultured bacterium. Its description in RNAcentral is "partial 16S ribosomal RNA". It matches the Rfam family "Bacterial small subunit ribosomal RNA", at positions 28 to 523 of the family's 1533-position model. The record is from RNAcentral.
GAUGAACGCUGGCGGCGUGCUUCAUACAUGCAAGUCGAACGGGGUCCAGUCAGUGGCAACACUGAGGACGACCUAGUGGCGAACGGGUGAGUAACACGUGAGGAACCUAUCCCGGUCUCUGGAAUAACAAGUGGAAACACUUGCUAAUACCGGAUGCCGUCAUCACCUCUCCUGGGGAGAUGACGAAAGAUUUAUCGGAUCGGGCGGGCCUCGCGGCCUAUCAGCUAGUUGGUGGGGUAACGGCCUACCAAGGCAUCGACGGGUAGCUGGUCUGAGAGGAUGAUCAGCCACACUGGGACUGAGACACGGCCCAGACUCCUACGGGAGGCAGCAGUAGGGAAUCUUGCGCAAUGGGCGAAAGCCUGACGCAGCAACGCCGCGUGCGGGAAGAAGGCUCUCGGGUUGUAAACCGCUUUCAGUAGGAACGAAUUUGACGGUACCUGCAGAAGAAGGUGCGGCCAACUACGUGCCAGCCGCCGCCGUAA